Molecule: long non-coding RNA, 3547 nt
Organism: Diceros bicornis minor
Lineage: Eukaryota; Metazoa; Chordata; Mammalia; Perissodactyla; Rhinocerotidae
Exons: 3
Source: RefSeq, a predicted model, not a curated record
CGCCAUGGUAAGAAGUUUGGAUUUUAUUCCAUUUAUCUUUUUCAUCCCUGGCUGUAACACAAGAAUCACCUGUGGAGCUUUUAAAAUAUCAGUGCCUAGCUCUCACCUCCAGAUUGAUUCUAAUGGUUGUUUUUAAUGGGAAGAGGCCUGAGCAUGUUUCUGUGCUGUGUGGAAGGAGACAACGGGAUUCAGCAUACACAUGGAGGGAUUAGCCUUUGACAUGGAGGAUUAGCCUUAGGGAGAACACCUCACAGAUUGAAAUGUACAGAAAAGAAGGGUAAGUUUGUCAGUGGACUGGGAGGAAAUGGGACCGUUUGGGACCUUAAGUGAAGCUAGGUGGAAGGCCUUGGAGGGAAGAGGGUUCAGUGAAGGCUACCUACACCUGGGGCAGGCUGAUAAAGUGGAGAAACUGAAGGGGUCCAGGAACUCACAACCUUGAUAAGGAUGAAGGCCAGGUGUGGCCGGGAAAGACUACCCACUCCAACAGCCAAAAUUCCCCCUCCUUCAUGGAGCCUGCCUGACUAACGGGAAGUGAGGUGACAACUUCCCCUGGAUCCCACCCUGCCUGACUCACUCCUCACUCAGUGCUCUCCAAGGGGCCCUUCUCCAUCCCCUUUCCCCAGAAGAUAAACCCCUGAUUUACUUUCUCCAAAGGUUCACUCUGAAAACCACCAUCUGUAGGUGGUGUCAGAGUUGUCAUCCAACAACUCUAUAGGUUGUCAUCCAACAACUCUAUUGCCACGAUUAUUUGAGGCUUUACAUGUUUCAGCAGGCAAAUUAAAGGGAAAUGGGAUCAAAGAAGCAGAAAUGACAAUGAGGAAAAAAUGGGAAAAGGUAUGCCUGUAUGUGUGUGAGUGGGUGGGUGAGUGAGCAGGCAGAACAGCAGAGGGAACUGAGUAUGGGAGACGUGGCGGAAUCAGCUAAGGAUGAUAGAACUGAGGGUCCUGGCUGAGGAACAACAGAGUGGCAGGUAGAGAUGGAAGCAGCCUCCUGGGGGCUGUGUCAAGCUUCUCCCUUCCCCAUCCCGUAAAGGACAAAGGGUACUUUCUACACAGCACCCACACAGAGGAGUUGAGGGGAGGGAUGAGUCCGUGAGGAUAGCGGAGUGAGGAUGAGGGUGAAGGGUUUGUCAGUUAAUCAUCUGGCAUGUCCCUGGGCCUUAGCCAGGUAGCUAGUGUCCUCUGCCUAAGGCUGGGACCUUGGCUGAAGAAACUGGGGUGGGAAAAACAUCCAGCUGGCAGAAGGGAGAGACGGCAUGCAAACACUCACCAUAUCACCCAGAAUUGGGGGGGUUUUCCUAGACCCCUGAGAGGUCAGGGACAGAGUCUGAUCCGUCCAUGGGCAGCCAAUGCCAAUACUAUGGAUAUCAUUCAGUGUUCGGUGAACUGAACCAAAGAAACUCAGGUAGGGGGAGAGGGUGUGAUAGAACCUACAGGAAGAGCUCUGGAGAGGGAAAAGGGGAGGCUUUUGGUUAGAGGACAAAUGAGGGGAGGUUGUCAAGAUGGAGGAGAGUUAUUAGCAAGAUCUGGAAGAUGUGUGAGAAGGGCCAAAAGGGGAAAAGAGGAAACUUAGCUUACUCUUCAAUAUUCUUUGUAGCAAGCCUGGGGCCAGUUGCUUUCCAUACGCUCUUAUGGUUCAGUCCUGUAAGGUAAGUACUAUUAUCACCACUUAACAGAGGAAAAGAAUGCAAUCAGCAAGGGUGAAGGAUUUUCUCCAAGUCACACAGCAAGUAAGGUUGAAGCAACACAGGUGUUCCAGGCUGAGGAAAAAGUGUGGACAAAAGGAUGGACGUAGGAAAGCAGAGGACGGGUGUAGGGAAUUGCAAGUGAUUCUGUUUGGUGAAAGGAUACGGUGAAUGACGUUCAUAUGCUAGAAGGUUAAAGAGUAGGUUGGCCCCAAGUCAUGAACUGUUUUGAAUGAAAGAAUGAGGAGGUUUGUUUGUAUUGGGGUGGCCCUGAAGAUUUUUACAAAAGGGGUUGGUAUGAUACCCAUUGUUCUUUAUCACGAAAAACGUGGGACAGUGAGGCACAUUAUUAAGAGAAAAGCAGAGGCAGGGAGGCCAGCUCAGGGGCACAGGUGUGACACAGUGAAGGCCUGACCUAAAGCAACGGGAGUGAGAAGGAAGAAGAGGGGAGAGAGCAGAGAGGACCGAGAAUUGACAGCAAGGUUGUCAGGCUGGCUAACUCGGUGGAGCAGGAUGGAGGAAACAAAUGCAGUUUGGGACAUCCUGAGUUUGAGGUAAGAUGGCACAUUCCCCAGGCAAUCUGAAACACAGUACUGUAAGUUUAGGAGAAAGGAUGGGGCUCGAGGAAAAAAUGGGAGGAUUCUCUGUAGAGAGACGACACCACACAAAGUGGACUGUGGUAGCUCCAGUUUUAGUGUAUUCAGACACUUUCCCAUCCCCCUGCUUUCAUUUCCAUUAAGGAAUUCCUGCCCUACUCCAUUGGCCCAUUAAUCACGGUGUUCUCCCAACUUCCCCCAAUCCAAGCUCCUAAUGGCACAGAAUCCAAGCAAGAACAUCCAGAGUUCUUCCACAACACGGGCUAUACUGCUGCAGAGUGGACAAAUGCAGAGACAGAGCCCAGAUAACACUGGAGCCCCCGAGCCCGCCUAGAGCCAGUCACCCUUCAAUGCCGCAUCCGCAUUUGGGUCCCCCUUUUUUAAUUUUGGUUAAGCUGGUUUAAUUGUAAUGUGUUGCAGUCAAAACAGUCUAAUAUACCAUGUGAUAUAAAAGAGAUUGUUCAGGAGAGAGAAGAGAAAGAAUAGUAGUUAGCAUUUGAGGGCUGACUAUAUGCCUGAAGGGCCUUGUAUGCCAUUCUAAGAAGCUUGGACUUUAUCCUGUAGAAUAUUAAGAGCUACUUAAAGGUUUAAGUUUAAUUUUAAAUAUGCUCAGUUGAAGGGACCCUUUUCAGGUCGGUGUUAUAAUCUCAUUUUACAGAGGUGGAAACGGAGGUUCUUGGAAGUGAAGUAACUUGCCUAAGAUCACUCAAUGAAUAAGUGUCCAGGUGAGGUAUAAUGUAAGAGUGGUCAAGUCUAAAGGGGAGGAGGUGGUAAAGGCUUUACAGGAGUAGGUGACACUGGAAGGAUGAUUUGUUCACUAGGUGAACAAGGGGGUUGGAGCAGGAAAAAGGGAGGGCCGAACAUAUGUAAGCCAUGGAGGUGGAGACAGCGCCUGACCCCAGGUAUUGGCUACAGCUGAGAGUACUGACGUUAGUGGCAAGAACGGUGGAGUUGCCAUGACAAAACAAGGCCCAAGGACUGACGAACCUCUGUGGCAUCUGACCCUGGAUGGCAAGGAUCUGAGGUGUGGUUCUUCAUACACCUCUCCCUCAAGGUGUCUAGGAGGAAAGGGGUGACACAGGGGAAUAGUGGGAGGUGUCAGAACACACCCCAGCAGUCUCCUGGAAAAGAUAGCUAAACCUGUGUGACCCCCAUUUAAUGUCAAAGGUGUGCCACCACGUCAAUCCCUGCCACCUUACCUGGUUGACCUGCUUGGGCCAUUUGCACCCCACUGAGCAUUGGCUGCUGCUGGCUUGGAGCUCCUGUC